RNAcentral lists this long non-coding RNA (714 nucleotides) under Medicago truncatula (barrel medic). Its description in RNAcentral is "long non-coding RNA (MTRU_LNC003862)". Lineage: Eukaryota; Viridiplantae; Streptophyta; Magnoliopsida; Fabales; Fabaceae. The record is from RNAcentral.
GCCAAUUAUUGUUGAUCUUUUCAACAAGGCAAAUUCUUUUUAUUUUGCAUCGUAUGCUGCUUGAUGCAUUAAGACUGUUGGGGAAGUAAGAGAGCUGACUGACAACAUGUCUCUCAAUUAAUAAUACAAUUACAAACCACAAAGCAACUAGGUGAAUAUCCAAAAUAAGAAAGGUGUGAUUGAUAUUGAUACUCAUGAUGCUUUUGCUUACAGGUAAUAAAAUUCUCAGCAACCAAUUGAAAACCACAUCCAAGAAGUUAGAAGCUAAUGAAAUGGCGCAACUCUUAUCGAAUGGUCUGAUGUAUGGUGGUAUCCACAAACAAGCUCUUGUCACCAACGCAUGCUUACCGAUUAUUUCCGUGUUAUUAGAAAAACAUGUGAAAAUACAUGCGACCACAUGUUAACCAACAAAGCAACAAGCUUUUGGCAGAAGUAGUAGAAAGGAACAUAUGAAGUAAUCAAUGCAGGGAAUUCAGAGUCGAGGCUAGUGGAUGAUCCUCAUGAAGAAGAUUAGAUUGAAGACGAUGAAUGAAAAUUGGUGUAAACUGGGUAUCUCAACACGGAGACUAAUUCAUCGGGUAUUGUGGGAUUUAAAUGGGCGGCAGACUCUCCCUAAAAAUUUUAACACAUUUCUGCAUGUCAAGGCUGGAUUCGAACCCCAUUAAUUUUUUUAUUUGCUUUCAAGUCAAUUUUUAAUUUCAACCAAGAUCUCAC